UACGGCCGUAUUAUGUUGAAACACCGGUUCACGUAGGUCCCCCGAAUUUAAGCAACGUCGAGCUUUCUCAGUACCUAGAUGGGUGACCGCUUGCGAAUACCAGGUACUGUAAG
Acanthosepion pharaonis is the source of this 113-nucleotide non-coding RNA. NCBI's taxonomy places the organism in Eukaryota, Metazoa, Mollusca, Cephalopoda, Sepiida, Sepiidae. The record is from the annotation of a GenBank genome assembly.